Molecule: ribosomal RNA, 752 nt
Filed under: uncultured Azospira sp.
Lineage: Bacteria; Pseudomonadati; Pseudomonadota; Betaproteobacteria; Rhodocyclales; Rhodocyclaceae
Description: bacterial SSU rRNA
Rfam family: Bacterial small subunit ribosomal RNA
Source: RNAcentral
UAGAGUUUGAUCAUGGCUCAGAUUGAACGCUGGCGGCAUGCCUUACACAUGCAAGUCGAACGGCAGCACGGGAGCUUGCUCCUGGUGGNNNGUGGCGAACGGGUGAGUAAUACAUCGGAACGUACCCAGGAGUGGGGGAUAACGUAGCGAAAGUUACGCUAAUACCGCAUAUUCUGUGAGCAGGAAAGCGGGGGAUCGCAAGACCUCGCGCUCUUGGAGCGGCCGAUGUCGGAUUAGCUAGUUGGUGAGGUAAAAGCUCACCAAGGCGACGAUCCGUAGCAGGUCUGAGAGGAUGAUCUGCCACACUGGGACUGAGACACGGCCCAGACUCCUACGGGAGGCAGCAGUGGGGAAUUUUGGACAAUGGGGGCAACCCUGAUCCAGCCAUGCCGCGUGAGUGAAGAAGGCCUUCGGGUUGUAAAGCUCUUUCGGCGGGGAAGAAAUGGCAACGGCUAAUAUCCGUUGUUGAUGACGGUACCCGCAUAAGAAGCACCGGCUAACUACGUGCCAGCAGCCGCGGUAAUACGUAGGGUGCGAGCGUUAAUCGGAAUUACUGGGCGUAAAGCGUGCGCAGGCGGUUUCGUAAGACAGACGUGAAAUCCCCGGGCUCAACCUGGGAACUGCGUUUGUGACUGCGAGGCUAGAGUACGGCAGAGGGGGGUAGAAUUCCACGUGUAGCAGUGAAAUGCGUAGAGAUGUGGAGGAAUACCGAUGGCGAAGGCAGCCCCCUGNNNUAGUACUGACGCUCAUGC